UAAUCGAUGGGGGGACGCAGUAGGAUAGGCGAAGCGUGCGAUUGGAUUGCACGUCUAAGCAGUAAGGCUGAGUAUUAGGCAAAUCCGGUACUCGUUAAGGCUGAGCUGUGAUGGGGAGAAGACAUUGAGUCUUCGAGUCGUUGAUUUCACACUGCCGAGAAAAGCCUCUAGAUAGAAAAUAGGUGCCCGUACCGCAAACCGACACAGGUAGUCAAGAUGAGAAUUCUAAGGUGAGCGAGCGAACUCUCGUUAAGGAACUCGGCAAAAUGACCCCGUAACUUCGGGAGAAGGGGUGCUCUUUAGGGUUAACGCCCAGAAGAGCCGCAGUGAAUAGGC
RNAcentral lists this ribosomal RNA (336 nucleotides) under Staphylococcus aureus. RNAcentral describes it as "partial 23S ribosomal RNA". It matches the Rfam family "Bacterial large subunit ribosomal RNA", at positions 1458 to 1791 of the family's 2925-position model. Lineage: Bacteria; Bacillati; Bacillota; Bacilli; Caryophanales; Staphylococcaceae. The record is from RNAcentral.